AUUGAACGCUCGCGGCAUGCCUUACACAUGCAAGUCGAACGGUAACGCGGGGCAACCUGGCGACGAGUGGCGAACGGGUGAGUAAUACAUCGGAACGUGCCCAGUAGUGGGGGAUAGCCCGGCGAAAGCCGGAUUAAUACCGCAUACGACCUACGGGUGAAAGCGGGGGAUCGCAAGACCUCGCGCUAUUGGAGCGGCCGAUGUCAGAUUAGCUAGUUGGUGGGGUAAAAGUCUACCAAGGCGACGAUCUGUAGCUGGUCUGAGAGGACGACCAGCCACACUGGGACUGAGACACGGCCCAGACUCCUACGGGAGGCAGCAGUGGGGAAUUUUGGGACAAUGGGGGCAACCCUGAUCCAGCCAUGCCGCGUGCGGGAAGAAGACCUUCGGGUUGU
This 395-nucleotide ribosomal RNA is filed under the name uncultured bacterium. RNAcentral's name for it is "bacterial SSU rRNA". It matches the Rfam family "Bacterial small subunit ribosomal RNA", at positions 29 to 426 of the family's 1533-position model. The record is from RNAcentral.